UACGGGGGGGGUAAGCGUUGUUCGGAAUUACUGGGCGUAAAGGGCUCGUAGGCGGCCAACUAAGUCAUACGUGAAAUCCCUCAGCUUAACUGGGGAACUGCGUGUGAUACUGGAUGGCUUGGAUUUGGGAGAGGGAUGCGGAAUUCCAGGUGUAGUGGUGAAGUGCGUAGAUAUCUGGAGGAACACCAGUGGCGAAGGCGGCAUCCUGGCCCUGUCCUGACGCUCAGGGGCGAAAGCGUGGGGAGCAAACCGG
Molecule: ribosomal RNA, 253 nt
Filed under: uncultured bacterium
Lineage: Bacteria
Description: partial 16S ribosomal RNA
Rfam family: Bacterial small subunit ribosomal RNA
Source: RNAcentral